Schistosoma rodhaini is the source of this 45-nucleotide non-coding RNA. Lineage: Eukaryota; Metazoa; Platyhelminthes; Trematoda; Strigeidida; Schistosomatidae. The record is from Rfam.
AUCCAGUUGAUGAGUCCCAAAUAGGACGAAACGCGCAUCCUGGAU